This 497-nucleotide ribosomal RNA is filed under the name uncultured bacterium. RNAcentral's name for it is "partial 16S ribosomal RNA". It matches the Rfam family "Bacterial small subunit ribosomal RNA", at positions 28 to 507 of the family's 1533-position model. The record is from RNAcentral.
GAUGAACGCUGGCGGCGUGCCUAAUACAUGCAAGUCGAGCGAACGGACGAGAAGCUUGCUUCUCUGAUGUUAGCGGCGGACGGGUGAGUAACACGUGGAUAACCUACCUAUAAGACUGGGAAAACUUCGGGAAACCGGAGCUAAUACCGGAUAAUAUUUUGAACCGCAUGGUUCAAAAGUGAAAGACGGUCUUGCUGUCACGUAUAGAUGGAUCCGCGCUGCAUUAGCUAGUUGGGAAGGUAACGGCUUACCAAGGCAACGAUGCAUAGCCGACCUGAGAGGCGGAUCGGCCACCCUGGAACUUAGCCACGGUCCAUACUCCUACGGGAGGCAGCAGUAGGCAAUCUUCCGCAGUGGGCGAAAGCCUGACGGAGCGACGCCGCGUGAGUGAUGACGGUCUUCGGAUCGUGAAACUCUGUUAUUAGUGAAGAACAUAUGUGUACGUAACUGUGCACAUCUUGACGGUACCUAAUCAGAAAGCCACGGCUAACUACGUG